UCCUACACCAUGGCCAGCCAUGACCCCACCUGGCAGCAAAUCCUCUGGAGUCUAUGUCACCCUGCAGUGCUCCUGCCUGAUGCAGUCACAUACUUGCCCUAUCUUGGGACACAGAGAUAGCUGCCAUCUACCCCAACCAGCACCAUCCUGGGCUCAGGGACCACGAGGGCCAUCGCUUAUGCUGCACAAGGUGCUACUCUCUGCUCACUGUCCCAUGGUGGGAAAACAAGCACAUUAACUCUCCAAGCAAGUUCAAAAGGUGGAUGGAGGCUUCCAAGUUACAGGCCACUACCCUGGAGCAUGACAGACACUUGGGGUGAGAAGAUCAAUCAAAAUUUGAACACUAUCAAGGAGUUUCAGGCCUUACUCCAGGCUGAGAGAUGAAAUAUUUGGGGGGAAAUUCUUGACUCCCUCUGUCCAUGGUACUCUGUGCACUUGACCUUCACAAAAUCAGUCCCAACUACACCUGGGGCCGGGUGAGCUACCUGGCAGCAGCUCCUCUAGUCAGUGUGAUUUCAAGUUCCUUGGGUCAGCCAGUCAGGUGACAUCAGAGAAGGUUCUUUCUGCACAGCUAAAUGUUCCUGGGGUGGAAGACUGGUGGGAUUUUUAGCACGUUUAUGCAGAGCUCUUAAAAACAAAGCAGCUGUCAUCAUUCAGAGCGGCUCUGGACCUUGGCUUUGUGGGCUGGCUCUGCUCUCCUGGAGACUUCUCUCCCUCCACACUGCUUCAGGACAGUCCCCUGGGCCCAUGCACCCUUUCCGUGCUUAGCUUCCUCUUAUUCCUGGUAAGGAGAUGCUUAUUCCUAGGCUUGGUGAGAGCCCAGAUUGCUGUCCCUACGGAAGACUGAUCCCAAGCUGACCCUCUUUACUAGUCCAGACACUUCAUCUGAAAUUACCCUGACUCUGCUGUUGGCUGCUGGACUGCUCAGCUCCAGGGCCUGGGCAGAGCUGGAGCAAUGGAUGUGGGGACUCAGGAAAAGAUGAUGGAAGGCUUUUCUUGCAACAAAUAAAACAGAUUUAUUCCUACAUGUAA
Long non-coding RNA from Cavia porcellus (domestic guinea pig), 1032 nucleotides. RefSeq lists it as uncharacterized. The record is from RefSeq and is a predicted model, not a curated record. Lineage: Eukaryota; Metazoa; Chordata; Mammalia; Rodentia; Caviidae. The transcript is spliced from 2 exons.